Molecule: ribosomal RNA, 492 nt
Filed under: uncultured bacterium
Lineage: Bacteria
Description: partial 16S ribosomal RNA
Rfam family: Bacterial small subunit ribosomal RNA
Source: RNAcentral
AUUGAACGCUGGCGGCAUGCUUUACACAUGCAAGUCGAACGGUAACAGGCCUUCGGGUGCUGACGAGUGGCGAACGGGGGAGUAAUGCAUCGGAACGUACCCAGAGGUGGGGGAUAACGCAGCGAAAGCUGUGCUAAUACCGCAUGUGAUCUGAGGAUGAAAGCGGGGGACCGAGCAGCAAUGUUUGGCCUCGCGCCUUUGGAGCGGCCGAUGUCGGAUUAGCUCGGUAGUGGGGCAAAGGCCUAGCCAGGCGACGAUCCGUAGCUGGUCUGAGAGGACGGCCAGCCACACUGGGACUGAGACACGGCCCAGACUCCUACGGGAGGCAGCAGUGGGGAAUUUUGGGCAAUGGGCGCGAGCCUGAUCCAGCAAUGCCGCGUGCGGGAAGAAGGCCUUCGGGUUGUAAACCGCUUUUGGCAGGAGCGAAACGGUGUCCGCUAAUACCGGGCGCUAAUGACGGUACCUGCAGAAUAAGCACCGGCUAACUACGUG